Molecule: long non-coding RNA, 256 nt
Filed under: Theobroma cacao (cacao)
Lineage: Eukaryota; Viridiplantae; Streptophyta; Magnoliopsida; Malvales; Malvaceae
Description: long non-coding RNA (TCAC_LNC005947)
Source: RNAcentral
AAAAGUGUGGGAUUUCAAGGGAUUAAGCUAAUAAAGGUAAAAUUUUGUGAUUUUAUCUUGUGAUUUACACUACCCAUGCUUUCUUUUUCAUUUUCCAUGCUUAGAACUCAAGUUUGCAUGAUGAACCCAUGCUGGCCGAAUUUGAGAGGAGAGGUUUUAAGCAUUGAUUUUGCUAGAUUUCAAGCUAAUUAAGUGUUUUUGGUUGUUUGGUAAUGGAAAGUAUGAAAAUCUAGCAAGGAAUCACUUUGUUCUUCAC